Long non-coding RNA from Hippocampus comes (tiger tail seahorse), 655 nucleotides. RefSeq lists it as uncharacterized. The transcript is spliced from 4 exons. NCBI's taxonomy places the organism in Eukaryota, Metazoa, Chordata, Actinopteri, Syngnathiformes, Syngnathidae. The record is from RefSeq and is a predicted model, not a curated record.
CUUUCACUAUUAGGCCUACUCCGCUUGCUGUGACUUGGGUCUCGUGAUCGUGACGUCCACAUGUGGAUCAUGCAAUUCCUGCCAGAGGAGCGACAGGCCUGAGUCGGAGCACUUCGUUGAUGAGCGCACUUAGGACGGGAAGUUUGUGCCUCUCGCUAUAUUUGGGAUAGUGACCCUCUGGUACACUGCACAGCUCCUCAUACACCUGAUUCUGGACCUGAUGGGUACAGCAGAGGAGCGAAGAUGCAUCCCUUGCUUUUCAAUCACCCCGUGCAAGGAAUCAUGGCAGCAUCGCAGCAAAGCGCCAUGGACCAGGCGGCGAUGGGCUCGCCACUCAUCGUUGUAGUCUCCCAGAGAAAUGGAGCGCCCUCCACCAGACACGACAUCUCCUGGGAAAGAGGAUCCUCAUCAAAAAGUGAUGGGAUCCUUCUUGGCCCAUGUACCACAUCGCUCCAAAGUUCCAUGAUCCAGCCAUUUUCUCUACUGCUUGUCUUCAGUCAGGUCACUGGUGGACCCCAUUUGUUUUUGGGCGAGAGGUGAGGUACGCCUUAGAUUGUUUGCCAGUCAAUCACAGGGCUCAUAUAAACAAGUACAGUACUCGCGUAAACAUUCACACAAAUGGACUACGGUCUUCAAUGAUGCUGGAUUUUGAAAG